Oncorhynchus keta (chum salmon) is the source of this 1655-nucleotide long non-coding RNA. RefSeq lists it as uncharacterized. The transcript is spliced from 3 exons. NCBI's taxonomy places the organism in Eukaryota, Metazoa, Chordata, Actinopteri, Salmoniformes, Salmonidae. The record is from RefSeq and is a predicted model, not a curated record.
GUUGCCUCGGCUCUCUGCUGCCUAGCUAUUUGGCCAAGUUAAAUGUAUAAAUCGACAUUCAUUUAAGUGGUCCCUCCUAUCUCUUGCCAUACUGCAUCUUUUGAUCUCACCUCUGGUUGUACGAUGAGCAUAGUUGAGAAGGACUAUCAUAGAAUGAAAUCGGGAGAGUAGAAUGACAAUUUAAUUUGUGUGAUGCCUAUACUAUAGCGACAGCUGGAUUUAAAACAAGAUUUUUAUUUGUCCUGCAGGAAGAGAGAUUAGCUUGUGCAGUCGUACUGGCCGAAGAUGGAUGGCGUCACCUCUGUCCCAUACAGUCUGCGUUUUCAGGGCGGGGCCCAGCCUGUGUACUUCGUUGGUACCUGUAUGGCGAGGAACCUGUGCAACAUGAGCUGCUGCACACCCUGGGCCUGCACCACGAACACACACGGUUGGACCCUGACCACUACGUCACCAUACAGUGGGGGAGCCAGGAAAAGAGAAGAACUUCCAAGGUGAAGAAAGGAGACCCUCAGAACCUGCCCUCUGACUACAAUUCCAUCAUGCAAUAUGGACCGUCAGUCACACUCCUGUAUUCCUCUCCUCCUUCUUCCCACUAAAGUCCUCCUUUUACUCAUUUUAUUGUAAUAAACGGCUAGCAAUAAGUAAAGAUCACUGUUCCUGGGCCUGUGUACAGUCCAGUAGCAUUUCCAGAUGUGUCCUAAAUGGCUCCCUGUUUAGUGCACUUACUUUGACCAGGGCAAAUGGGCCUCUGGUCAAACUUGGUGAGCUAUAUUGGGAAUAGGGUGCCAUUUGGGACGCAAGCUGUGUGUUAAAGGAGCAGGUCCUCUAACCCUCCCUUGUUGGGUUUCUCCUGGCAGGUAUUUCUUCUCAGCAGACUGGAACCCCACCCCACCGCUAACUAAGCUAGCCGUUUCACAUCCGUUACACUGACACCCAACUGUUCCCCUUGCAGAGCAAGCCAUUUCACAUCGGUUAUAUAAGGUCUACCUGUUGUAUUCGUCGCAUGUGACUAAUAAAAUUUGAUUUGAUGGAUUUAUUUCAAUUCCCGGAUUUCCUUACGUGAACUGUAACUCAGUAAAAUCUUUGAAAUGCUUGCAUGUUGCAUUUAUAUUUUUGUUCAGUAUAUUUUAUAUACCCAUCGAUUCUUGAAGAAUAUAACUUGUGCUUGUCGUGGAAAUUGCAAGAUUAUGUUAUAAUGCUUGUAUUGCAUUUCAAUGGUUGUUUUACUCGACAGAAUAGACUGUUCUGUAAACUAUUGUGUGUGUGUUCUACUGAGGAGGGCCUCUAUGAGAUAGCACUGACAGAGGAGAUUUACAAUGUCUUUGGAUGAUAAAACCUAAAGAGCAUUCCAGAUAACAUGAGGUAAUGUUUUUGUGCUAUACCGUACCAGGGUGAGACGGUUCCAGUUUGGAGUAGGAGGACCAGACACUGGUCUGUCUAUACAAAGAAAACUGUUGACACAGCAGUUGCUGUCUGCUAUGUAUUAUAGAUACCUUUCAUACAAAUCUUAACCUUGUGACCAUUCUAUGUAUCUGUUGUAGAUUGCGAGGGGUUUAUCUUGGCUAUAAAAGAUCUUUGUACUUUUGUGUUGUCACUUUCAAUGGUUCAUUAGAAAUGGUGCAUCAUUGAAAGUCAUUGCUAAUGCAACGCUUUUA